This is a small nuclear RNA of Bradysia coprophila, 165 nucleotides long. RefSeq annotates it as U1 spliceosomal RNA. Lineage: Eukaryota; Metazoa; Arthropoda; Insecta; Diptera; Sciaridae. The record is from RefSeq and is a predicted model, not a curated record.
AUACUUACCUGGCGUCGGGAUUACGAUGAUCAACAAGGUCGUUUCCCCUGGUCUAGGCCCAUGGCAUUGCACUACGCUUGGGCUGAAACCGGCGAUUUUUCCUAAUGCGAAAAACUCGGGCGUAAAAUUUUUGUUAGCAGGGAUAAGCGUUCGCGCUGUCCCUAA